Molecule: ribosomal RNA, 465 nt
Filed under: uncultured bacterium
Lineage: Bacteria
Description: partial 16S ribosomal RNA
Rfam family: Bacterial small subunit ribosomal RNA
Source: RNAcentral
CCUACGGGCGGCUGCAGUGGGGAAUUUUGGACAAUGGGCGCAAGCCUGAUCCAGCUAUUCCGCGUGUGGGAUGAAGGCCCUCGGGUUGUAAACCACUUUUGUAGAGAACGAAAAGACACCUUUUAAUAAAGGGUGUUGCUGACGGUACUCUAAGAAUAAGCACCGGCUAACUACGUGCCAGCAGCCGCGGUAAUACGUAGGGUGCGAGCGUUAAUCGGAAUUACUGGGCGUAAAGGGUGCGCAGGCGGUUGAGUAAGACAGAUGUGAAAUCCCCGAGCUUAACUCGGGAAUGGCAUAUGUGACUGCUCGACUAGAGUGUGUCAGAGGGAGGUGGAAUUCCACGUGUAGCAGUGAAAUGCGUAGAUAUGUGGAAGAACACCAGAGGCGAAGGCGGCUAACUGGACUGCAACUGACGCUGAGGCACGAAAGUGUGGGGAGCAAACAGGAUUAGAUACCCCUGUAGUC